Molecule: ribosomal RNA, 500 nt
Filed under: Enterobacter hormaechei
Lineage: Bacteria; Pseudomonadati; Pseudomonadota; Gammaproteobacteria; Enterobacterales; Enterobacteriaceae
Description: bacterial SSU rRNA
Source: RNAcentral
AAAUUGAAGAGUUUGAUCAUGGCUCAGAUUGAACGCUGGCGGCAGGCCUAACACAUGCAAGUCGAACGGUAACAGGAAGCAGCUUGCUGCUUYGCUGACGAGUGGCGGACGGGUGAGUAAUGUCUGGGAAACUGCCUGAUGGAGGGGGAUAACUACUGGAAACGGUAGCUAAUACCGCAUAACGUCGCAAGACCAAAGAGGGGGAYCUUCGGGCCUCUUGCCAUCGGAUGUGCCCAGAUGGGAUUAGCUAGUAGGUGGGGUAACGGCUCACCUAGGCGACGAUCCCUAGCUGGUCUGAGAGGAUGACCAGCCACACUGGAACUGAGACACGGUCCAGACUCCUACGGGAGGCAGCAGUGGGGAAUAUUGCACAAUGGGCGCAAGCCUGAUGCAGCCAUGCCGCGUGUAUGAAGAAGGCCUUCGGGUUGUAAAGUACUUUCAGCGGGGAGGAAGGCGACAGGGUUAAUAACCCUGUCGAUUGACGUUACCCGCAGAAGAAG